Molecule: ribosomal RNA, 576 nt
Filed under: Entimomentora hyalina
Lineage: Eukaryota; Fungi; Ascomycota; Leotiomycetes; Helotiales; Pleuroascaceae
Description: partial 26S rRNA
Rfam family: Eukaryotic large subunit ribosomal RNA
Source: RNAcentral
AGAAACCAACAGGGAUUACCUCAGUAACGGCGAGUGAAGCGGUAACAGCUCAAAUUUGAAAUCGGGCUCCGUCCGGGGCCCGAGUUGUAAUUUGUAGAAGAUGCUUUGGGUGCGGCCGUGGCCUAAGUCCCUUGGAACAGGGCGUCAUAGAGGGUGAGAAUCCCGUCUGCGGCCGGCGGCCUGCGCCCGUGUAAAGCUCUUUCGACGAGUCGAGUUGUUUGGGAAUGCAGCUCAAAAUGGGUGGUAAAUUUCAUCUAAAGCUAAAUAUGGGCCAGAGACCGAUAGCGCACAAGUAGAGUGAUCGAAAGAUGAAAAGCACUUUGGAAAGAGAGUUAAACAGUACGUGAAAUUGUUGAAAGGGAAGCGCUUGCAGCCAGACUCGCGGGCCGCCGCUCCCUCGGGGUUCUCCCCGGGGCAUUCGGCGGCUCACGGGCCAGCAUCGGUUCGGGCGGCUGGACAAAGGCCGCGGGAAUGUGGCCCCCCUCGGGGGGUGUUAUAGCCCGCGGUGUAAUGCAGCCUGCCGGGACCGAGGACCGCGCUUCGGCUAGGAUGCUGGCGUAAUGGCUGUAAGCGACC